Molecule: long non-coding RNA, 523 nt
Organism: Bubalus bubalis (water buffalo)
Lineage: Eukaryota; Metazoa; Chordata; Mammalia; Artiodactyla; Bovidae
Exons: 2
Source: RefSeq, a predicted model, not a curated record
AGACACUGUUGCAUUCAUUCACACAGCAUCCUUUGAAUAAAGUUGAUCCAAGGACCGUGGUCUCCAGUUCAGGGACGUGCACAUGGCUGCAGAAAGAUCUCCGAGAACGGUCCAAAGAAAUCCAGCAGUGUCAGAGGUCAUCUAUAAUUGAGGACAAAUUAGCAAGAGUCCAGAGGCUGAGCAUGGCUUUGAUCAGGGUGUCCAGCCUUUCUCAGUGCAAACCAUUCUGUGGAGAAAGGUAGGAGUCAUAUCAGUGAAUUGGUUGCCUUCCUAAAGGUUAUCAAGACCCCCUUUUCUCUUCCUCUGCUGCCUCCCCCACCUUACUCUCUUUGGGAGCACUUCUAUAUUUCUGCAGCAGUUUGACUUUGGCAGGAAUUGUAUUCAGGUAUAAUGCUAAGCCUUAAACCUGUUCAUCUUUGUUUGUACUCAAUUAGCCUGAUUUUACUCUGAGAUUCAUGCAUGUGUUUUCAUCUCUGACCACCUUUAUCAAAUCUUUUAAAAUAUAUAUAUAUAGCAUAUUUUU